GAUGAACGCUAGCUACAGGCUUAACACAUGCAAGUCGAGGGCAGCAUGAACAUAGCUUGCUAUGUUUGAUGGCGACCGGCGCACGGGUGCGUAACACGUAUCCAAUCUGCCCGUCACUCGGGGAUAGCCUUCUGAAAGGAAGAUUAAUACCCGAUGGGAUGCAUUUCCGGCAUCGGAGAUGCAUUAAAGAUUUUAUCGGUGACGGAUGAGGAUGCGUACGAUUAGCUAGUUGGCGGGGUAACGGCCCACCAAGGCAACGAUCGUUAGGGGUUCUGAGAGGAAGGUCCCCCACACUGGAACUGAGACACGGUCCAGACUCCUACGGGAGGCGGCAGUGAGGAAUAUUGCACAAUGGGGGAAACCCUGAUGCAGCGACGCCGCGUGAGUGAAGAAGUAUCUCGGUACGUAAAGCUCUAUCAGCAGGGAAGAAAAUGACGGUACCUGACCAAGAAGCACCGGCUAAAUACGUG
RNAcentral lists this ribosomal RNA (470 nucleotides) under uncultured bacterium. RNAcentral's name for it is "bacterial SSU rRNA". It matches the Rfam family "Bacterial small subunit ribosomal RNA", at positions 28 to 507 of the family's 1533-position model. The record is from RNAcentral.